Molecule: transfer RNA, 77 nt
Filed under: Campylobacter jejuni
Lineage: Bacteria; Pseudomonadati; Campylobacterota; Epsilonproteobacteria; Campylobacterales; Campylobacteraceae
Description: tRNA-Arg
Rfam family: tRNA
About the family: Transfer RNA (tRNA) molecules are approximately 80 nucleotides in length. Their secondary structure includes four short double-helical elements and three loops (D, anti-codon, and T loops).
Source: RNAcentral
GCGCUCAUAGCUCAGCUGGAUAGAGUAUUUGAUUGCGGUUCAAAAGGCCAGAGGUUCGAAUCCUCUUGAGCGCACCA